CGCGGCCUAUCAGCUUGUUGGUGAGGUAAUGGCUCACCAAGGCGACGACGGGUAGCCGGCCUGAGAGGGCGACCGGCCACACUGGGACUGAGACACGGCCCAGACUCCUACGGGAGGCAGCAGUGGGGAAUAUUGCACAAUGGGCGAAAGCCUGAUGCAGCGGCGCCGCGUGAGGGAUGACGGCCUUCGGGUUGUAAACCUCUUUCAGCAGGGAAGAAGCGAAAGUGACGGUACCUGCAGAAGAAGCACCGGCUAACUACGUGCCGGCAGCCGCGGUAAUACGUAGGGUGCGAGCGUUGUCCGGAAUUAUUGGGCGUAAAGAGCUUGUAGGCGGUUUGUCGCGUCUGCUGUGAAAAUCCGGGGCUCAACCCCGGACUUGCAGUGGGUACGGGCAGACUAGAGUGUGGUAGGGGAGACUGGAAUUCCUGGUGUAGCGGUGAAAUGCGCAGAUAUCAGGAGGAACACCGAUGGCGAAGGCAGGUCUCUGGGCCACUACUGACGCUGAGAAGCGAAAGCAUGGGGAGCGAACAGGAUUAGAUACCCUGGUAGUCCAUGCCGUAAACGUUGGGCGCUAGGUGUGGGACUCAUUCCACGAGUUCCGUGCCGCAGCUAACGCAUUAAGCGCCCCGCCUGGGGAGUACGG
Molecule: ribosomal RNA, 643 nt
Filed under: uncultured bacterium
Lineage: Bacteria
Description: bacterial SSU rRNA
Rfam family: Bacterial small subunit ribosomal RNA
Source: RNAcentral